RNAcentral lists this long non-coding RNA (1597 nucleotides) under Phaseolus vulgaris (common bean). RNAcentral describes it as "long non-coding RNA (PVUL_LNC004130)". Lineage: Eukaryota; Viridiplantae; Streptophyta; Magnoliopsida; Fabales; Fabaceae. The record is from RNAcentral.
GACCUUCUCUUCCAACUCCUUCUCCACAAACAGUAGUCACCACUUUUAGCAAACCUCAACUCAGACGCACCCAAAUAGCACUGCCAACAGCAUCCACCAUUUCAAUCCUCGCUCUCUUCGCCCCUCCUAACGAAGCCAAAGCCGCUGUCUCCAUCGCCAAGGACCAGAUUGUUUCAUCUCUCACCCAAGUAAAUUCUUUCCAUUUUCUCGCCUACCCAUUAUCUGGAAUAGCUCAUACCAUUUCUUUAUCCUUUAAAAAAUCUAACUUUUUCUUUACAGGUGGAGAAAACGAUUGAUCAGGUUCAGGAAGUGGGUUCGAGUGUUCUGGACACGGCACAGCGUGUUGCUGAGGUAAUUGGGAAUGCUUUGAAGCCUGGCAUCGAAACGGCGUUACCAAUAGUGCAGCAAGCUGGGGAAGAGGCCUUGAAAAUUGCUUCCCCUGCCAUUUCUGAAGCUUCCAGAAAGGCCCAGGAGGCGCUUCAAAGCUCUGGUGUUGAUACCCAACCUGUUAUCACUGCUGCUAAGGUUUAUUUCCUCAAUUCCAACUUUCUACUUUCUUUAGGCUUUGUUUCAAGGGGUAUUUGUUGUUUCUGCACUCACUGAACUAACUACAAUGCUGGUUAGUCAUUUGGUAGGAUGAAUAUAUAUUGCAGUGUUGUGUUCUAAAUAAUUUUUUGGGAUGCAAAACCAUUCCCUUUUAAUGCCUCUACUGGUUGGAAGCCAAUCAUGGUGGGUUGAGGUCCUUUUUCCUACUUUCACUUGUCCCAAUUGCAGCCUGUAGUGUCUUUAGAUUAAGAUAUGCGAUUUAAAAUGGUAAAGUACAUGCUAUAUGGAUAAAGUAUAGACACAAUCAAACACAAUGAUAAUUUUUGUUCUCACAAUGGAAUAUCGUGUUAAGAAAGACCAGUCCUUUAAAUGGAAUUUAGUAUCUUUAGAAACUACUCUUUGGUUCUCAAUGAAAUUGUGUUCACCUUAAACUAGAACAUGUUAAGAAUUCAAUAAAUUUAUAAUUGGUUAUAUGCAUGCAUUUUAUAUUAUUUCGUUAACAGUUGAUUUAAUCAAUGAUUAUAACUAUAUUUUACCCCGUAAGAUGCCAUUGUAUUACCUUGGACUGCAAAGCCUUUAAAAGCAUUUGAUGUGAUAUAUUUUCCUUUGAAUUGGACAAGUUAUCUUUUUCUCAAUUUCCUUUUCAAAGAUUCUGUCUGAUGCUGCCAUGUUGUUCCAUUAUGGGGAUUCAGAAGUUUUGUAGAACGUAUUGUGCUGGCUUAGGCUAAGUACUCAACCUAAAUUAAAAAUUCCCGUUUCAGCUAUCAAGAAGUUCUCUUCUCAUCAUUUUGCUAAUUUGCUUGACAUUUGAAAAGCCAAGUUUAUGAACCUGAUCAGGAUACUCUCUUUGAUUUCAGACAGUGGUAGAUGCUGCACAACAAACGACCAAGGUGAUUGAUGUUGCCAAGCCAAUAGCUUCCUCAACCGUUGAAACCAUAUCCUCUUCAGACCCUACUGUGAUUGCUGGAGCUGCUGGAGCACUAUUUGUUGCCUACCUCCUGAUUCCUCCUGUCUGGUCUGUCAUCUCCUCUAAUCUUCGUGGUUACAAAGG